GGCCCUGUCGUCUAGUGGCCUAGGACACUGCCCUUUCAAGGCAGGAACCGGAGUUCGAAUCUCCGCAGGGUCA
This 73-nucleotide transfer RNA is filed under the name Planctomycetaceae bacterium. RNAcentral describes it as "tRNA-Glu". It matches the Rfam family "tRNA". Rfam says of the family: Transfer RNA (tRNA) molecules are approximately 80 nucleotides in length. Lineage: Bacteria; Pseudomonadati; Planctomycetota; Planctomycetia; Planctomycetales; Planctomycetaceae. The record is from RNAcentral.